Molecule: long non-coding RNA, 4941 nt
Organism: Rhopalosiphum padi (bird cherry-oat aphid)
Lineage: Eukaryota; Metazoa; Arthropoda; Insecta; Hemiptera; Aphididae
Exons: 7
Source: RefSeq, a predicted model, not a curated record
GUUCAGUUGUCCAACGACCUUUGCCACCUUUUACGGCCUGUCGUUUUUCUCAGGUGUCUGACCGAUUUACGGAUCGCCGUCACGCUGUCACCGCUUGCUCGCGGUCGCUUUGUUCCUCGGGCUUCGUAGUGUCGCCAAAUCCAAGUGUUGUCACCGUGUCCACCGUUGUGCCGCAUAUAUUUUCUUUUAUACUACAUCGCUGCGGACCGUGUUCCAUUUACCAAUUAAAUUAUUUAUAAGUUAUUGAAUAACGGUUGUUGACGUGGGUCAGAUAAGCCGCACGAACCGCGAUAACAUUUACGCAGGGGUCCAACUGCCGCCGUCACUUGUCUCCCGUAGAAAAACGUCAACUCGUCACCACCUAACACGGUCGUCGGAGACGCGUAAAUAUUGUAUUAUCUUAUUAUCAUUAUAUUUGUAUUAUCAUUCGUGUUGAUAUUAUUAUUUUCUUAUUAUUUGUAAUAUUAUAUUUUGUAUUCCGUUGUGGACUGUUCAAAGAGACGUCUUUGACAGUUAACAAUUUUUUUAUUAUAUAUAGUUUUAUUGGCAAACAAUAAAUUAUUGUGUGUUUUGCCAUACAAUUAAUAUUAUAUUUAAUGGUGUAGUUGAUGUGGUCAAUAACCAACCAACCACUACUUUCAACCUUCUAUAAGUCUUGCCAUUUUAUUAUUAUUGUUGUCAACUCGGUGGUGUAGUCAUUGAGACCGACCACUACGGUUGUAGGAGUUUCAUGACCAAACAAUAGUUAUGAAAAUAAUGAUAUAGAUAAUAGAUGAGGUUAAUCCCACAUAGAAGAACGAUAAAUGGUAAAAUCUAAAGUUUAUCGAUAGAGAAUUUUAUGCAGAUUCCAUUUAAAUGGUCAGUGUAAUGAAUUUUUCAGUAGUUAAAUAGAUAACUUUCAAAAAGCACAAAAAAGCCAAAAAACAAUACAAAAUUAGCUUUAUCAAUAUUAUCAUAUAUUAUAAAUUAAGAUAAUGAAUUAUUAAUUAGUAUAACCAUGGUUUUAGUUUUAUAAGGUUACCACUUCGAAUGUCUGAUAAACAAUUGCGGUUAUGUUCAAUUUUUAAUAUACAAAUUACAGAUUUAAACAGUUCUCUUUAGAUGUGGUCUUCAUCAGUCAUUCUUAUAGUCAUUGGAAACAACCGGUACAAUGUAUCGAUAAAUAAUUGAAACCAUUGCAAAGAACAAGUUAAAUUCAUGCUAUCUACAACAUUCAUAUUCAAAUCUUCAUAACUUAAAUCAUUUAGCAAGAUACAGUAACUGAAGUAUACAUGUAUCCAGGCCAAUAAGGAGAUUAUUCUGUUUGGAAAAACAUCUGAAAAAACUGUUCCUACUAACAUAAUUGUUUAUCCGGUAAAGUAGAAGAGUUCAUAUUAUCUGAAUUACUAUAGUGUGUCACUUUACUAUUAUAAAAGUUAUUUUAUGAAUACUAUCUAUAUUUUAUUAGUCUGUAUAUUACAGCCAUAGCAACACAGGGGAUCAAUGCAAUUUGAUACUGCUAUUAAUUAUGUUCAUAAUUAUUUAAGUUUUGAUUUAACCAAAAACAAUAUUUUUAGAUAUUUAUAGGCAUUGUUACACAUACAAAAUAAGAGAUUUAAAUAAUACAUUCAAUUUUAUAAUAUUCUACUCUUUCUUAUAGAGGAAAGAAAUAAUAUAAAUUUUUAUGUUUAAUCAAUAUACAUAAUACAUUGUCAAAAUGCAUUUAAUGUAUACUUAAAAUCAGUAUUGUAUUCAUUGCUAUCUGGUUAACUGUCUGCUAUUUUAGUGUUCCUGUUUACCUAUGUUUCAUUUUUAUCACAAUAGUUUAAACAUUUUAAAUAACCAGAUAUUCUAUAAUAUUGUUAUCAUAAUUAACAAAUAAAUAAUACUACAUUGGUGAUGGUUAUUUUACAUUUAUAUUCACAAAAUGUAUGCUUAUACUUUUAUUUAUAUGAUUUUGUUUUAUUGUUAUAGUCUGCAAAGAAGAGAUUUCAGAUAAAUUAGUAUAAUAGUGACUAACAUGGACUACUAAAAAAAUAUGUGUUGUUCGCAUACAAACUAAUCUCUAUCCAGCGAGUUGUCCAUAUUACUCUAUUGAUAAAUAUCUGAUAUUUGAUUAUCAAACAUAGUUUGUCGGUUUAAAAUAAAAUAAAAGAAAACUUGAUAUGAAUAUUAUUGUGACUAAUAUUAUUUCUUUUUACUUAACUCUUUAUAAGGUGUAAAAGGUUUUUAUUUAUUGACUUUUUAAUGUAUCAACAAACUAAUUAUUUGUGUUCUUAUUAUUUUUAUACUAUUUAAAUCAAAUUUCAUCUAUAAAAAUAAAAAAAUGGAAAUAGUGACUUCUUGUAUGAUGAAUAUUUACAUUCUUUUAACAAAAUGUUUUGUAUUCAAAUCUUACAAACUUUACAAAUUUACAACUUAUAUUUUUUAAUAUAUAAAUUAAAAUUAAGUCAUUGAAUUUAAUUUCUUAUUUAAUGACAAACAAAAGCAAAAUAUAAAAUAUAUAUUUAUAUUUGGACAAUAUAAUUUUUAAUAGAUAUAUAAAAUAACAGUUUUAUAAUUUAUCCAUAACUUAUAACUGAUGUGUGUAUUAACUUGUGUUAACUUAUACAUUAAAUAUUUAUAGAUUUUAAUCAAGUAAAUGCUAUUUCUAAGAUUUAUUUAUGGUUUAAAAAUUAUGUUGAGUUUACUACUGAUAUUAAUAUGUAUGAAUGUUUUUGAAACUGCAUUAAAAAACGAUAAAAAAAAAAUUACAAAUAAUUGUUAAUGAACAUUAAAUUAAUUGCAUUGCAUCAUAUCCAACAUAUCAUUAUAAAUGAGUACAAACACAUACAUUUUGUGUCAUAUAAGACAUUCAAAAUUAUUAUGAAUUUUGUGUUACACACUACACAGAUUCAUCAGUAUAAGAUCACAACAUACUAUUUUUGGUCAUUUGGGUUUAAGUGUGUGUCAUGGGUCAACUUUAUAGUAUCUCUUUUGAAUAAAAAGGUUGACUGAGUAAUAUUAUAAAAUAUAUAUUUUUUGUUACAUUUGUUACACAGUGUAACUUAGAGCUUUUUAAUAUUUAGAUAUUUUCAAUUUUCAUUCGCGUUUCCUAGGUCACCUGGUGGUCCAACGACAAUUUAUCACAGAAGUUAAAAUGUUCUAAAUGUAAUUCUAAACCAGAAUCAGUUUUUCUUUUUUCCAAAAACUCGUUAUUUCAAAUUUUGGGUUUUCAAAAAUCGUUCGACCUAAGUACGACGUUUAAAAAUCCUUAAUAACAGUUUUUCAAAAAAUCAAAAGCAUACAACUUAUGAAGCUGGUUAUGGGGAUCAAUUUUAUGUCUCACGACUUUCGUCCUAUCUCUCGAGGUUUUCCCGUAAAACACUUCGUAAACGAGAAUUUUCAUUCAUAAGUAGUCAUAAGUUUUUUUAUGACGUAUUUUGUUUAACUAUUUAUUUAAACCUAAGUUUCAUUUAAAUUGGUAUUAUGCAUGUGAAUAGUACUUGGCGACCUAUCAGGAACUUGGAAUAAUUAAUUGUUUUAUCAGUUCUAUAAAAUUUUGUUCAAAUGUAUAUCGAUUGACAAUAUUAUUGAUCUAUUAUGCAUUAUUCAAAAGUUGAUAAUGCAUAGCUUGUUUUAAAUCAAGUUGCAUUGUAACUAUACAGCUAUUGGCUCCAAUCAAUCCAGAAUAUUUGUUGCAUACUACAAUUUUAAGAUUAUUACAUAUUUACAUGCAUGUACUAAGAAUAUUCUUGGACAGAUGACUUGAAGAAUAUACAUAUUGUACUACAAUUGUAUUCAGAAAAAUUGAGAACAAUGUGAAAAUAAAAAAAAUACAGUUAAAAUACUAUAUUGGAUUUUAAUAUUUCAACAUGGAAUAACAUCAAUUAUAGGACAUAGAUAAUCUAGUUAAUUUCAAAGAAGUGUAAAAUAAUCAAACCUGCCCAACUAUGUUCCCGAGGAAAACUAACCUACUAACAAAUAAUAUGUAAAGAAAAUUAAAAAUGAUAAAAAAAAUAUUGUAAGUGCUAAUGUACUGUAAUUUUAAUACUUCAUAUGUAGUUAAAUUUAGUAUGGGGCAGCAACAUCAACCAUCAAAACUUAAAUAGUAGGUAACUAUUAUGUAUUUAAUAAUAAUAAUAAUUAAAAGAAAAUAAUUAAUAGGUUUGUAUAAUUAUAAUAUGUAUAAAUAGAGUAAAUUAAAUUAAUAUUAAAAAAAAAAGAACUUAUGACAUAUGUAUAUUAGUACUUGUUUACAAUGUUUACAUAUACUUAUACCCAAUUUUAGUAUUAAAUAUUAAAAUAUAUAUAUUUUUUAAAUUAUAUUUAUUACUUAACAAUAUACAAAAUAUUGACAUUUUUUUUGUGUAUGGAUGAUGUUGUUUCCUAUAUUUAUUGGUAGUUAUUAUUAUUAAAUUUAUAUAUCCAAGUUUAUAUUUUAUAAGAGCCAUUUUUAAAUGUUACUAUUGUUCUAAGUCUGGAGUUAAUGGAGAAUUUGUUCUGAAUUUCUUGAACACAUGUUUAUCAUUAGUCAUUACUCAUAUUUUGCAUAAUUGCAAAACGAAAAUUUUGACUAAACUGUGUCAUCAAAUUUUUCAUAAUCUUGGACUUAUAAAUGAUAACAUUUUAAAGUGGUCACUAAUAAUAUAAAUCCAAUUAAGUAGGGGUUCAUUUGUGACUGGGGCCCGGUUUUAAUGCAAACAAUUAAUUGUAGAAUAUGAACAUAUUUAUGUAUUAAAAAUAGAUAUAUUGUCUGUGAAUAUGUUAAUGCAUAUAAUUACUUAAAAAAUUAUAUAAAGUAUUUAAAGAUGUAUUUACUAUAAAAAAAUUUAAUAAAAAUUAAUUUAUAUUAUACUUAAACAGAUUAUGAUAUUUAUAUUUUUUUUUUUUACAAAUUAUAAUUAUUACUAAAUUGUGUGUACCUUUAUGGCCUGUAUGUAUAAUUUGAGUUUAUUCAAUAAAUUAUUGUGAAAUAUUUUU